GCCCUUUUCAUUGUCGCCUUAGAGGCUUAUAUCGAGCGUGCUGGUUUUCCAGCUACGGCAAUAAAUGGUCAGUGAAAUAAACCUAUCGGACCCGGGGGCGGUAC
RNAcentral lists this transfer-messenger RNA (104 nucleotides) under Paracoccaceae bacterium. RNAcentral's name for it is "Rhodobacteraceae bacterium (seawater metagenome) partial transfer-messenger RNA". It matches the Rfam family "Alphaproteobacteria transfer-messenger RNA", at positions 1 to 104 of the family's 355-position model. From Rfam's summary of the family: Bacterial tmRNA, also known as 10Sa RNA or SsrA, is named for its dual tRNA and mRNA-like properties. Lineage: Bacteria; Pseudomonadati; Pseudomonadota; Alphaproteobacteria; Rhodobacterales; Paracoccaceae. The record is from RNAcentral.